Non-coding RNA from Anas platyrhynchos (mallard), 4497 nucleotides. Lineage: Eukaryota; Metazoa; Chordata; Aves; Anseriformes; Anatidae. The record is from RefSeq and is a predicted model, not a curated record.
AACUAAUGAGAAAUUAACUAAAAAAAGUUGUCCUUGCAAUGCUUUGCUGAAGUGGCAUUUUGAAAAAACACUUCUAAGUAUCGCCUUUACAAUUCUGCGUUCUGUAAAUAAUGUUUCAGAAAGAGAAAUGGAAAUUUUAGCCUGCUGGUAUAACAAUGAAGUCUUGAAGCAAAUUGUCUGUAAUUGAUUGAGAUUUUUAAAAAAGACAACAUUCACAUGUGUGUUUUUCUUUAGAACACCUCUGAAGUAGUUUUUUUAGCUUUUCUUUCAAAGUGUACACUACAGAUUGUGCAUCUAUUAUUCUUUGCAUCCUAAAUUGCUGAGGGUUCCUUAACAAUCCGGUUUCAUAAAGGGAUAAAACCAGCAGAAGCUCAUGAAGCAGGGCCAGGGCAGCUAACUAAAUGCAGAGAAAAACCAGUACAUAGUUGUAAAAAUAGCACCUGGCUGCUGCUGGUCCAAACAGCUCUUAACUUGAUUACGAAUCGCCCCCUAACUGAGCUCAGAUAUAAGUGCAGAGGCUAGUGUUUAUGAAAAGAUUCCUGCUUUCCUUGGGCUAAAAUGUGUUCUGUUAUGUUACAAGGAGGUAGCACCAGCUUGCUGUCGUUCUGGGGUCCUCUUCUCGCACGGAGCUCCUGUCCUGCCACCGCUGCCUCCACCAGGAAGAGGAAUGCGGCCACCACCAGCCCAUGACUGCUCGCAGUGACACCCAGAAACAUCUACACAGCUGCUUGACUUCAGCCUUUGUUACACAGGACUUGUUAUCUCACACCACAGAUGCAGCAGUUCUGAUCCUGAAAGAAGAUGCUUCCCGAGGAAGGUUUCUACUCCAUUCUUGGUGACCAGAGAUCACAGGAUUUAUUCAGCCUGUUUCGAAUUCACUUGGUGAGUUCUGCUGGCUGCUAUCGCUGCUGCCAGACUGUCGUCGUCUUCUCCUGCCUUUUAUCAGGACGCUCCGAUACACCUGCAGGGAAAAAGAGGAGCAUAACACGGGAAGUAUGAUUAAAUGUGCAGUUACAGAGUCAGGAAACAAUAUGCACGAUAGAGCUGCUUUUUAGAAGACUUCUCUGUGGUAUCAGAUUGUUUCCUACAGGGGAAAAUACAGCCUCCUACGAUGAUUAUCCACUAGGCACUGGUGCUGUAGCUUGUAAGUGAAAAUAUUUUCAUCUAUAGAUAUAAUUCAGCAUAAAAAGCUUUCGGUAGUGCAGGAUUUUGACUCUGUCUUUAAGGAGAGUGCUCACAGACUGCGUAUAUUUAACAUUAAAUCUUAUUUUACUUUGAAAAUCUCUACAUUCCUAAAGGCAUUUAAUUAACCAGAAGCCACAUCAUUUAACAUUAACUGUACUUACAUGACUCUUGGCUUGUGGUUGUGUCCGAUAGCAGCGCAUAAUGUUCUGAAAUGAUCUGUCUUCCUUAGUAACCUAAGGAUAGACAAACAGACAAGAUUAAAAUUGUUCCUGUGUUCCUUUUUUUUCCCCCAUGAUUUGUUUAGGGGUGGUUGUUUUUUGGGUAGGUUGUUUGAGGAAUUUGUAGUCAUAGUAUAUUAAGCCUUAAAAAAGCAGCAGGUGUUUUUAUUCACCUUACCUUAGACAUUACAUAGAUGGCACACAUGAGCAGCUGAUCCAAGUGUCUGUCCAUCAUGAUUUCAGGGCAGUGCACCAAGGAAUACUCAAAACAAGUCCAGAUCUUUUUCCGCAGCUCAUCAGAUAUAUCGAGUUUGACACAGAGAUCCCGUAGACGAACACUAGCUAAAUGAUACACCUGUUGACAUUGAGACUGUGCUUAGGAGCACAUCAAUACUGCUUUUCUCAUCCAAGCUAAAGCACAGUUCAGGCUUGUACAGCCUGUAGAACUUGUGCAAAUGGUAAGUCAAAAGAAGAAUAACUAAAUUUAACUUUUGUGUUUACUGGUCUUGAUGCUAAGAAAGCAUUUGUUUGAAGCUUAAAUUCUGGAAUUAUUUGGAGUGCAGGAACAGCACCACAUAACCGCUGUAUUGAAUAAAUAAGAACAUCUCAAAGGUGAAUCUCUUUCUUGUAAAGAGCCUUAAAAGAAAAUGGAUACUUUUAAGCGGAUGCUGGCCACAUCUGUAAUCUACUCCAGAACUACAGCAGUGUUACUCUACUCCCCUGCCAGCGCGAAAUGGUCUGCAUGCUCUUAAGGUAUGUAUCCAAAUAGACUUAAGGUAUACAUUAACUUUUAAACUGAACAUUCUCUUACCAUUAUUAAAAAUAAGUAAAUAUUUUUAAGCCCUAGAGGACCUACCGCAAUACAAACUAAACAAAGAACAAAUCUGACUGAAACGUACCUUUCUAAAGAAGAGUGAAAGCGAGCCCAUCUUCCGGGGCCUGGCAGAUGCGGCAGUGGCAAGUUGCUGGGUUUGUCUUUGCUCUCCAGGAGAGAUCUGCUGCACAGUUACCUGGCCUGGUAGCUGUAACGUUGCCCCAGUCAUCUGGGUGUUCAGGGUACCAGCAAGAGUCUGGGCGCUGAGGGGCUGAAUGGAGCCAGAUACAGCUUGAGGCUGGGUUCCUACAUUUACCUGGACCGGGAAGAAAGUUAUUCCCCCAUUUUCGUUGGCAAUACCUGUAAUUUAAGAAAAAGAGUCUGAAAUGAGAGCAGGUUUUGGUGGUAUGAAUGAUAUUUUGUUUGUUUUAAUAAUUAAGUAAUUCUUUUAUUUGUUGCUUAUAAUAUAUAGCGUAUUAUAGAUAGGAAAUCGUUUCAUCAAAAUGCUUUGGAAUUCUUAUCAUAAAAAGACAGGAAUAUAAUGGAAUUGAACUAAUUUUUAAUAAUAAUGCUACUUUCUUGCCCUGCCAGUCAAGGAAGGAAUGGUUAUUGAAAUAUCUAAGUUCAAUAAACAGCUGCUGGCAGUCAGAAGAUCUUUGUGCUGUCAGUGUUCUGUCUCUAAAUUCUGCUCCCCUAUGCGUAUGAUUUUUCCCCAAUUAUUAAUUCUUAAACCUACUCUUUCACCACUGGCAUGCUGUUCUCCCUAAUGUACUUGUCUGUAUACAAAUACUCUGAUGAGAACCAGCCUAAUCCUACUGUUGCUUUUCCCUUACCUUGGACAGGUAUUGUAACGGUUUGCCCGUUAUUGGCUGUUACGGUGGCAGUUGCCACUGUGACCAGCGUCUGGCCGGGCACAGGAGUUACGGACAUGGCUUCAGGAUUCAUGUUCUGCACAGGCACCGUAUUUACCACGGGCUGCUGGGGAACUCUUACUGGAGUUCCACUGUCAGAGGUAUUAUCAUUAUCAACAAACAGUCUUCUCCUGGUGGGAUUGGCUGUAGGAGAACUGUAUCUGUCAUACAGGGUCGUGGGAGAAGAUGAGAGGCCUGAAGAUUUAAAAAAAUAUAUAUAUAUUUAUAUAUAUACACAUUUAAUUCUUGUAUAAUCUCUUAUUAUACAAAUACACGAAAGAAAUCUAAUAAGAACCAAAACUUGUCAGCCAAAUUCUUCUGGAAGCAUUUUUAAAAAGUUGUCUACAUUUAUGGCUUACAAAUCACUGUUACAGAUGACUUGAUCUCAAAUAAUGCAGUGUUCAAUGUUUUUCUAAACUAACAGGCUUCACAGAAGUAAAUAUAUAGCAGAGCUUCUAUUCUGGUAUAACAAUAAAACAAACCGUUUAGGGGCUACUGAUUAGAAUAUAUGUAUUUAUAUAUUUGUCUAUACACAUACAUAUAGACUCUUCAUACACAUAAAACCUUGAAACCACCCUAACAAAACACUAUUUUGAUUUGAAAUAAUGAAUGUAUCUUAAAUAUCUGACUUAUAGAAAUAUAUAUAGAAAUACCAUUUACAAGUUUUGCAACUAAUUCUACAUUGCCGGAGUAGCUUCCUUCUGUAACACCAUUUAGGUUUGUAAGCUAAAGAUGUGGUCUAAGAACAAUAACUGUGUUAUGCUUUAAAAAUCUCACCUUUUCCAAGUCCUCCACUUUCAGCACGAACCUCGUUUAUUCGUCUUGGCGUCAGUGGAGAACCUACAACACUGUUCCCAGCAGAUCUCUCAAAAUACUGAGGUGGCAUUACCUAAAAUAAUUGUGCUUUUAUUAAAAUGUCUCUAUCACAGAUUCACUGCAUAACAAGUUUUUAAAAGCUUCUAACCUAAGACAGUUGAAUGGCAAAGUAUAUACAAGAAAAUGAAACACUGAAGAGCACUGAAAAACUACUCCAAGUCUAACUUAAAACCAGUGUAACAAUUGUACAGGAUGUCGUGUCCACUCUAUUAUUCUGUCUGAGUAGGAAAACUAUGUGAAGCUACAUAAUGUAAAGAAGUGCUUACCUCUUCACAACUAGGAACUUUGUUUUCAUUAUCUCUGAUUCUGUCCCACAAUAUGGAUUCCUGCUUCCAUGCCAUGCUUUCCAGGAUCUGUUCUUCAAUAUGAUUAAGGUGUUUUACUACUUCCCGGCAGAGUCCAUCUUCUGCUCUAAUAAAAACCUCAAUUACCUGUAAAGCAAAGAAUUAUGAACUCCACAUAAUGCUAAAUAAACAGUGAGCGAUAAGUGUAA